ACGAACGCUGGCGGCGUGCUUAACACAUGCAAGUCGAACGAAGAGCGAUGGAAGCUUGCUUCUAUCAAUCUUAGUGGCGAACGGGUGAGUAACGCGUAAUCAACCUGCCCUUCAGAGGGGGACAACAGUUGGAAACGACUGCUAAUACCGCAUACGAUCUAAUCUCGGCAUCGAGGAUAGAUGAAAGGUGGCCUCUACAUGUAAGCUAUCACCGAAGGAGGGGAUUGCGUCUGAUUAGCUAGUUGGAGGGGUAACGGCCCACCAAGGCGAUGAUCAGUAGCCGGUCUGAGAGGAUGAACGGCCACAUUGGGACUGAGACACGGCCCAGACUCCUACGGGAGGCAGCAGUGGGGAAUCUUCCGCAAUGGACGAAAGUCUGACGGAGCAACGCCGCGUGAGUGAUGACGGCCUUCGGGUUGUAAAGCUCUGUUAAUCGGGACGAAAGGCCUUCUUGCGAAUAGUGAGAAGGAUUGACGGUACCGGAAUAGAAAGCCACGGCUAACUACGUG
Molecule: ribosomal RNA, 509 nt
Filed under: uncultured bacterium
Lineage: Bacteria
Description: partial 16S ribosomal RNA
Rfam family: Bacterial small subunit ribosomal RNA
Source: RNAcentral